CAAUAGCGUAUAUUAAAGUUGUUGCGGUUAAAAAGCUCGUAGUUGGAUUUCUGUCAAAGGUGAGGUGGUCCAUCUUAUGGAUGUGUAUCUACCCGUACCUUGGCAUCUUCUUCAAGAACGCUGUCGCGCUUCACUGCGUGAUGCGGUAUUGAAGACUUUUACUUUGAGGAAAUUAGAGUGUUCACGGCAGGCAAUCGCUUUGAAUACAUUAGCAUGGAAUAAUACUAUAGGGCCUCGGCUUUAUUUUGUUGGUUUCUAAAGCUGAGGUAAUGAUUAAUAGGGAUAAUUGGGGGUCUUUGUAUUGCAACGUCAGAGGUGAAAUUCUUGGAUUGUUGCACGACAAACUACUGCGAAAGCAUUGACCAAGGAUGUUUUCAUUGAUCAAGAACGAAAGUUAGGGGAUCGAAGAUGAUCAGAUACCAU
This 423-nucleotide ribosomal RNA is filed under the name uncultured eukaryote. RNAcentral describes it as "SSU rRNA". It matches the Rfam family "Eukaryotic small subunit ribosomal RNA", at positions 592 to 1018 of the family's 1831-position model. The record is from RNAcentral.